Molecule: ribosomal RNA, 402 nt
Filed under: bacterium
Lineage: Bacteria
Description: partial 16S ribosomal RNA
Rfam family: Bacterial small subunit ribosomal RNA
Source: RNAcentral
UGGGGAAUUUUGCACAAUGGGGGAAACCCUGAUGCAGCGACGCCGCGUGAUUUAGAAGGCCUUCGGGUUGUAAAAAUCUUUUUUACGGGAUGAAAAUGACAGUACCGUAAGAAUAAGGUCCGGCUAAAUACGUGCCAGCAGCCGCGGUAAUACGUAUGGACCGAGCGUUGUCCGGAAUCAUUGGGCGUAAAGGGUACGUAGGCGGCCUAGUAAGUUAGAAGUGAAAUAAUAUAGCUCAACUAUAUAAAGCUUUUAAAACUGCUAGGCUUGAGAGAUGGAAGGGAAGGUGGAAUUCCUAGUGUAGCGGUGAAAUGCGCAGAUAUUAGGCAGAAUACCGGUGGCGAAGGCGACUUUCUGGUCAUCAUCUGACGCUGAGGUACGAAAGCGUGGGUAGCAAACAGG